This 497-nucleotide ribosomal RNA is filed under the name uncultured Glomeromycotina. RNAcentral describes it as "partial small subunit ribosomal RNA". It matches the Rfam family "Eukaryotic small subunit ribosomal RNA", at positions 591 to 1092 of the family's 1831-position model. The record is from RNAcentral. Lineage: Eukaryota; Fungi; Glomeromycota.
CCAAUAGCGUAUAUUAAAGUUGUUGCAGUUAAAAAGCUCGUAGUUGAAUUUCGGGAGCAGUACGCCGGUCGUGCCUCGGUAUGUACUGGUGUUACUGGUUCCUACCUUCUGACGAACCGUCAUGUCAUUAAUUUGGUGUGGCGGGGAAUCAGGACUGUUACUUUGAAAAAAUUAGAGUGUUUAAAGCAGGCUCGCGCUUGAAUACAAUAGAAUGGAAUAAUGAAAUAGGACGUUCGAUCCUAUUUUGUUGGUUUCUAGGAUUGACGUAAUGAUUAAUAGGGAUAGUUGGGGGAAUUAGUAUUCAAUUGUCAGAGGUGAAAUUCUUGGAUUUAUUGAAGACUAACUACUGCGAAAGCAUUUGCCAAGGAUGUUUUCAAUAAUCAAGAACGAAAGUUAGGGGAUCGAAGACGAUCAGAUACCGUCGUAGUCUUAACCAUAAACUAUGCCGACUAGGGAUCGGAUGAUGUUAUUUUUAAUGACUCAUUCGGCGCCUUACG